This 252-nucleotide ribosomal RNA is filed under the name uncultured bacterium. RNAcentral describes it as "partial 16S ribosomal RNA". It matches the Rfam family "Bacterial small subunit ribosomal RNA", at positions 525 to 776 of the family's 1533-position model. The record is from RNAcentral.
ACGGAGGGUGCAAGCGUUAUCCGGAAUCACUGGGUUUAAAGGGUGCGUAGGCGGGUAAAUAAGUCAGAGGUGAAAGCUCACAGCUUAACUGUGGAAUUGCCUUUGAUACUGUUUAUCUUGAAUAGUGUUGAGGUUAGCGGAAUGAGUCAUGUAGCGGUGAAAUGCAUAGAUAUGACUUAGAACACCAAUUGCGAAGGCAGCUAGCUAGGCAUUUAUUGACGCUGAGGCACGAAAGCGUGGGGAGCGAACAGG